Molecule: long non-coding RNA, 1816 nt
Organism: Cyprinus carpio carpio
Lineage: Eukaryota; Metazoa; Chordata; Actinopteri; Cypriniformes; Cyprinidae
Source: Ensembl
AUGAAAGUCUUCAAGGGAAUGGUUAAAAACUACAUCUGCUCCUCCAUCCCGGAUACUUUAGACCCUUUUCAGUUUGCCUAUCGCCCCAACAGAUCCACUGAUGAUGCCAUCUCUCACAUCCUGCACUCUUCUCUCAUGCACAUUGACAGCAAUAACAGAAACUAUGUAAGGCUGCUAUUUAUCGACUAUAGCUCAGCUUUCAAUACUAUAGUCCCCAUAAAGCUAGCUUCUAAACUCAUGGACCUCGGCCUGAAUUCUUCACUCUGCAGCUGGAUUCUUGAUUUCCUCACCGGCAGACCACAAGUGGUGAAAGUAGGCCAGUACACCUCCAACUCCAUCACCCUGAACGUAGGAGCCCCACUGGGCUGUGUCCUGAGUCCCCUGCUCUAUUCUCUCUACACACAUGACUGUGUGUCUUCCCACAGGUCUACAGCUAUAAUCAAAUUUGCUGAUGAUACUGUGGUUCUGGGCCUGAUUUCCAACAAUAAUAAAGCCGCAUACUUGGAUGAGGAAGAGACAGCAGCAGCCCUAUAUUCCUCUUAUGAUCAGCGGGACCCCUGUGGAGAGGGUGAGCAGCUUCAAGUACCUUGGUGUAAACAUCUCCGAGGACCUGACUUGGACUACCCACAUUCAAACACAGGUUAAUAAAGCCAGGCAAAGACUGUACCAUCUGCAACAGCUGAGAAAAUUCAGGGUCUCACCAGCAAUCCUGAAAACUUUCUAUUCAGGGGCCAUAGAAAGUGUAUUGACUCAGUGUAUCUCAGUGUGGUAUGGGAACAGCUCCAGUCAAGACUGCAAAGCCCUGCAGAGAGUUGUGCACUUAGCAGAGCGCAUCACAGGGUCUGCUCUCCCCUCUCUGUAGGACAUCUACGUCAAACGCUGCAAAAGCAGAGCUGUUAAAAUCAUCAAGGACUCCAUCCACCCCAGUAACCAUCUUUUCACUUUGCUGCCAUCUGGUAAGCGCUUCCGUAGCCUGAUGGCAAAAACUGAGAGACUUAGGAGACGUUUCUUCCCCCAGGCCAUCAGGCUCCUAACUCAAAACCAGUCUCUUAACAUCUUCAUGUCUCCACUUAAUAUUCACUUUAUCAGUAAGAUAUUCAUCAUUCUCUACCUCACAUUGACAUUGACAUACUGACAGUGUCAACCUGUUUGCACAUUUGCCUCUUGUACAUUCCUGUGUAUCUUAAAACUACAGUAUAAUGCACAUAUGCACAUUGCCUCUUGUACAUCCCUGGGUAUCUUAAUAUUUAAGACUACAGUGUACUUUCAUGCACAUUAUUUUUCAUUCUAUAUUUAAUUCUACAGUAAACAUCUUUUUUUAUAUUUUAUUCUUAUAUUUUUAUUGUUUACUUUUAUUUCAUUCUUUCAUAGCUAUAUCUAUGUAUAUUUUCAUCUGUGUUGUAUUCUUUAAUAAUUGCACUGUCCAUGAAGCGGACCUGAUUUCACUGCUGGUUAUAUAUGCUGUAUAUAAUUGUGUAUGUGACGAAUACAAAUCUUGAAUCUUGACUCUUAUUUGCUCCAAAUGACUGUAGUCUCCUUAAGAAAUAAGCAUAUAUGGAGUGGAAAGAAAAGGUGAACUCAGACGACCCUGAGAUGCUCCUGAAUAAGUAACAACAGAAUUUGAAAACUUCUGAUUAACAUUAACUAUCUGCAGUCUAUCUGUCAAGUCAAGUCAAGUCAAGUCAAGUCAAGUCACUAUAUUUAUAUAGCGCUUUAAACAAAAAAGAUUGCGUCAAAGCAACUGAACAACAUUAAUUAGGAAAACAGUGUGUCAAUAAUGCAAAAUUACAGUUAAAGGCAGUUCAUCAUUGAAUUC